UCCUGUUCAUCAACCAUAAAUUCAAUAUUCAUAUCAUCAUUGUCGCUGUACAUAACAUCAUCAGCAUCAUCUUCACUGACUACACUAUCGGCACUUCCAGAUUGAUCAUCCUCAAACUCCAUUUCUUCAUAAACACCAUCAUCUUCACUGUCCUCGUAGUUCUCGUCAUUCUCAUUAACUAUAUCGCCUUGAAAUAUUCCCAAAAC
Molecule: non-coding RNA, 206 nt
Organism: Schizosaccharomyces pombe (fission yeast)
Lineage: Eukaryota; Fungi; Ascomycota; Schizosaccharomycetes; Schizosaccharomycetales; Schizosaccharomycetaceae
Source: the annotation of a GenBank genome assembly